GAUGAACGCUGGCGGCGUGCCUAAUACAUGCAAGUCGAGCGACCGGACGAGAAGCUUGCUUCUCUGAUGUUAGCGGCGGACGGGUGAGUAACACGUGGAUAACCUACCUAUAAGACUGGGAUAACUUCGGGAAACCGGAGCUAAUACCGGAUAAUAUUUUGAACCGCAUGGUUCAAAAGUGAAAGACGGUCUUGCUGUCACAUAUAGAUGGAUCCGCGCUGCAUUAGCUAGUUGGUAAGGUACCGGCAUACCAAGGCAACGAUGCAUAGCCGACCUGAGAGGGUGCACCGACACACUGGAUGUGACACACGGUCCAGACUCCUACGGGGGGCAGCAGUAGGGAAUCUGACGCAAUGGGCGAAAGCCUGACGGAGCAACGCCGCGUGAGUGAUGAAGGCCUUCGGAGCGAAAAACUCUGUUAUUAGGGAAGAACAUAUGUGUAAGUAACUGGGCAUAUCGAGACGGGACCUAAACAGAAAGCCACGUCUAUCUACG
Molecule: ribosomal RNA, 495 nt
Filed under: uncultured bacterium
Lineage: Bacteria
Description: partial 16S ribosomal RNA
Rfam family: Bacterial small subunit ribosomal RNA
Source: RNAcentral